Molecule: transfer RNA, 73 nt
Filed under: Microbacterium sp. 77mftsu3.1
Lineage: Bacteria; Bacillati; Actinomycetota; Actinomycetes; Micrococcales; Microbacteriaceae
Description: tRNA_Sup_CTA
Rfam family: tRNA
About the family: Transfer RNA (tRNA) molecules are approximately 80 nucleotides in length.
Source: RNAcentral
GCGCUCAUAGCUCAGUGGCAGAGCGGGGGACUCUAACUCCCCGUCAGCGCGGGUUCGAGCCCCGCUGAGCGCA